UGCUGUCAUCAGGGACUUGGAAGAACUAUUGUUCAAACUGAAUUGUUAAACUGGCUUCCACAUGUAAGUGAUGCUUGUGAAAAUGAGGGUGAGAACAAACAGCUAGCCAAGGGCCUGUCCACCCCUCCUGGCGCCAGCUGAUGAUAGAUGGCCCACCCCAAGGAGCAGAACAGCCUGCCCUGGAAAUGCAGAUCAGUUUCCACCACUUUGAAACCUUUACUGGCUGUCAGCCUAGCAGGCGUCACAUCUUCCGCAUGGGGAGACAGCAGGCUGAGACGCAGGAGGAUGCUUAGCCUUAGGCCCUGAAGGUCAGGGCAAGACUCUGCCUCCUGGAACUUAACCCUGAGCUGAGGUUAAAGCAUCCUCUGCAAUCCAGCUGAGGGGUCAGGUUUCUGGACAGCUCAGCCAGUAUUCCCUACCCUCUAGCAUCCAUCACAAUUUAGGGAAAAAGUUCUCCUUCAUACUGGUGUUUUACCUUAUUUAGCAGAAAAGCCAACUGGUUGACCCCAGGUGGAAAUCUCCCAUGUUUAAAGGGCCUGGACUUUGUCAUUACACAAUUGGCUCCUUCUGAUAGUAGUUGCUAAAAUCCUUUGCUUUUUCACUCCUUGUAGAACCUUAAUGCGUUUUGAUAAAAACUUGAGGUCCCAGUGACUAGCUCAAGAUCACACAGCUGGUCAGUAGCAAAGAUGGACAGGACUAGAAGUUAGUUCUGCUGCCAUGUUAUUUACUUAUCCAAUAAACCAUUUUUAAACAUGCAGAAUGUAUGUAUUAGUUACAGUACAGAGUAAGUUUCUGUAACAGGGAGAUCCCCAAACUUUUCCUGUACAUAACACUUUCAGAAGCUGAUAGGUGGUCCAGGGCAGGUAGGCUGCUCAGCUACCUGAGGUUAAUCAGGAGCUCAAAUUCCUUCUAUCUUGUUGCCUGGGUUGUCUUUUUUUUUUUUGAGAUGGGGUCUCAUUCUAUUGCCCAGGCUGGAGUACAGUGCGACACUCCAUCUCAAAAAAAGAGAAAGAUCUGGCCCAUAGGUUAACAACCCCUGUCCUGACAUGUCCUUUCCACCAUCAUAUCUGUGUUCCAGAAAGAGGAAUGAGGAAGUGGAGGGGUUGAAUUUUCUCACAAAAACAUGAUCCACAGGUAGAAAUAGUGCAGCAUAGUCACACAAUAGAAUACUACGCUACAACAAGAAUGAAUGAACCACAACUACACACAACGCGGAUGAAUCUCACAAGUAUAAUGUAGAGCAAAAGAAGCUGACACAAAAGAUUGCAUAUUGAUUGAUUACAUUUAUAUAAAGUAUAAAAACAGACAAAAUUAAUCUAUGGUAUUAAAAGUCAGGUUGCCUUUGUAAGGGAUAGUGACAAGAGAAGACUUCUGAGAUCUGGAAAUGUUCUAUUUCUUUUUCUUUUUUUCUUUUAGAGACAGGGUCUUACUCUGUUGCUUAGGCUGGAGUACAGGAUGCAAUGGUGCAAUUGUUUUAUUUGUUGAUCUGGAUGGCAUAUGUUCCCAUGCAUGAGUGUGUCCACAUGUGAAAAUUCACUAAGCUUACCAUUUGUGUACUUUCCUAUAUGUAUACUCCAACAAAAAAAAGUUUGUAUAAAUUUCAAAAAAAAAAAAAUAGUGAUUCUGAAGUUGCAAUCACUUCUCAGGUCUCUUUCGGCCAAAACUUAGAGGACCACUUAUGACUGCAGGGAAUCUGGGAAAUGCAGGUUCAUUAAUUUUUUUAAUUAAUUAAUUUAUUUAUUUAUUUUAAGAUGGAGUCUUGCUCUGUCACCCAGGCUGGAGUACAAUGGCGUGAUCUCAGCUCACGCCACCUCCCAGGUUCAAGCGAUUCUCCUGCCUCAGCCUCCUGAGUAGCUGGGAUUACAGGUGCACGCCACCAUGCCUGGCUAAUUUGUAUUUUUAGGAGAGAUGGGGUAUCACCAUGUUGGCCAGGCUGGUCUUGAACUCCUGACCUCGUGAUCCGACCACCUCGGCCUCCCAAAGUGCUGGGAUUAUAGGCAUGAACCACCACGCCUGGCCUGGGAACUGCAGUUUCCAGUUGGGUGGCCAUAUGCCUCUAAAAUUUAGAGGAUUCUCUUAUUAAAAGGAAGAAGGGAAGAAUGUAAUCUAGGGGGAAAUUAGCAGGCUGUGCUACAGUCCACACAGCAGCACAGGCCCAUGACAGUUAUCAAAUCCUGCUGGGCAUGAGCUGUGAAGACCUCCACCCUGGCAGUAGAGUAAGUUCUUUGGUUAGCCCACCUGGCUGCCCUUGCUACUGUUUUCUGGGAAUAACUCCCUUGACCUUAGUUCUCUGUAUUAUCUGAGUUUACUCUCAGAUAGGUUAUUCGUUUACUAUAGAGCAUGGUCACACCUUUUUGUCCUUCUUCCCUUUUGCUUUUUUUUCUGCUUGGAACUUGGAUAUAAUGGCAGGAGCUGCAUCAGCCAUCUAGGGGCCAUGAGGGAGUCUUAGAAACCUCAGCCCUGAUUUCCUUGGUCUUACGACAUUAAUAACUGGCUACUUCUGACAUUCUUCUAUGAGAAAAUAAACUCUUAUGGUUUAAACCACUGACAUUGGGUCUUUGUUACCCAGAGCCAAACACAAUUCUCAACUGAUAUGGAAGGCCUCCCUAAGAAGAUGACAUUUAAGCUGAGGCUUGAAGGGUUAGCAGGUGGCAGAUACCAGAAUAGCAGAGGAAAACCAAAAGCCCUUUCCACUCCACUACACUGCUGACUGUCUAUCAUCCUCUAGGUAGGGAGAUAAGAGACUGGAGAAGUCAGGAGAGGAGAUUUCAAGGUGGGAUUGAUUGGCCAGGAAUGAUAGUGAUGCUGUGAGGAAAGGAGGGCUUGGUGAUGUGCUCUCAUCUCCAUGUGUACGUUUCCUUCAUGGCACUUGUCACACAGAAGUUGUGAUGACAUGAUGAACACCCGUCUGUCUGUUCUGCUAGACUGGAGUCUCCAUGAGGGCAGGGACAAUCCUUUCGACUGUUUAUCACUGGCAUAAUGCCUGGCACAUGGCAACCAUGGAACAAGUUAUUGGAUAGGCCGUAGUAGAAAGAGCUAGGGUAAGAGGAGGGAGAGAAAAGACACAGAAGCAGAAGAGUGGAAAACCUGGGAUUGUGCAGGCUCCUUGUUAAGGGGACACCAUCCCAUUAGAGCACCACAACACUCCUCAGAGGCAGACAAGGGGGAUUGAGGUCAAAUGGUUCCUUCAGGCACCCACAUGGCAUGGGCUGUCCAGCUCACAGCCUGUCUCUCCUGGCUACCCAACAGGCAUGAUGAGCUCUGAGUUGGCUAUCAGUGGUACCCCCCUCCCUAGCCAUAACAAUUGAUCCAAGACAUAGGUACAUGACUCAGGCUGGACAAUUAGAGUCCUUUCCAAGAAUUUUUAAACAAGAGCUAAGAAAAGUAGCUACUUCCUCUGCAGCUAUGAGAGCAUGAGCCUGGGUUUCCUAUCAUCUGGUCAAGCUUCCCGGAGGUGGCCAGCCUGGGGUAAUGAGCCUGGCACCCAGAGAAAAGCAGGGAAAGAGCCACAGAAACAAAGCACUACGGGUCGUCAAAUCCCUGGUUCCCGUAUGCCUCAGGUCAGCUCCACCCUGCCCUUCCUAGUUUAUGAGCCAAUAAAUUCCUUUUGUGUUUAAGAGAGUUAGUGUUGAGCUUCUCUCUUGAAAUCUAUCAACUACCUUUCUCUCCAAAAUGCACCCUGAAUCUGACCACUUCUCAUCAUCUCCACUGCCACCAGCCUGGUCCAAACUACUAAUAUGUUUUGCCUGGAUGAAUAUAACAGCCUCCCAAUGGUCUCCCUGUUCCUCUCUUGCUCUCCUACAAUCCAUUUUCCACCCAGCAGGCCAAGUGAUCUUAGACAAAUGUCAAUUAGAUUAUGUCACUUUCCUGCCUAAACCCUCCAGUGGCUUCUCAUCACUUUUAGGGUAAAAUACAAACUCCUUACCCUGUUUUACAAGGCCCACCAUGAGGAGUGGAUACUCCUGUCUGUCCUCUGACUUUAUUCCAUGCCACUUCCCCCUCAUCACUAUGAUUCAGCUAUAUUGGCCACCUUUUUGUUCCAGACACAUUAAGCUCAUUAUUUCUUCAGUGUCUUUGUACCUGCUUGCUUUCUUUUCUUUUCUUUUUUUUUCUGAGAUGAAGUCUUGCUCUGUUGCCCAGGCUGGAGUGCAGUGGUGCGAUCUCAGCUCACUGCAACCUCCGCCUCCCGGGUUCAAGCAGUUCUCCUGUCUCAGCCUCCUGAGUAGCUGGGACUACAGGCGCCUGCCACCACACCUGGCUAAUUUUUUUAUUUUUAGUAGAGACGGAGUUUCACCUUGUUGGUCAGGCUGGUCUCGAACUCCUGACCUCAGGUGAUACACCUGCCUUGGCCUCCCAAAGUGCUGGGAUUACAGGCAUGAGCCACCACGCCUGGCCUUUGUACCUGCUUUUUCAGGUCUUUGCAUGGUUAACCCCUCAUCAUUCAGUUUUUAGUGUAGUAAUAUAGUAAUCAUGUCUCCCCCACCUCAUCCCUUUCUAUCUUAUUAUGUUGUUUAAGAUAUUCACAGAAAUGAUCACUGCUAUAAUUAUCUUUUAAUUAUGCUUUUGCUUACUUUUUUGUUGGCUAUCUCCCCUGGAGUUUGAGCUCCAAUGGAGCAGGGCCCUCACCUGUCUUAUUUACCAUGUAUCUACACAGUAGAUGCUCAAGUAACAUUUAUUCAAUGAAUAAAUGAAUGCAUUACAAAAUGAGGAGGAGCUGGAGUUCCAGGCAGCCCCUAGAUUCCCUGUUGGGUCUUCUUUCCUCUGCCCCAUGCACACACAGUACACACUGUUGACUAAUGUUUAACUCAUAGAGGAGUUUGGGCUUGACAUGUGACCUCACUCAGCCUCUGUUUCAUUUGUGAAGUAAGAAAUAAGAGUGGGCGGCUGGGCGUGGUGGCUCAUGCCUGUAAUCCCAGCACUUUGGGAGUCUGAGGUGGGCAGAUCACGAGGUCAGGAGAUCAAGACUAUCCUGGCUAACACGGUGAAACACCAUCUCUACUAAAAAUAGAAAAAAUUAGCCGGGCAUGAUGGCACAUACUUGUAGUCCCAGCUACUCAGGAGGCUGAGGCAGGAGAAUUGCUUGAACCGGGGAGGUGGAGGUUGCAGUGAGCCAAGAUUGUGCCACUGCUCUCCAGCCUGGGUGACACAGCGAGACUCCAUCUCAAAAAAAAAAAAAAAAAAAAAAAAGGAGUGGGCUUAUUUCACAUAAGCCCACUCCUUGCUAAACCAACAAUGAUUGCCUAAGAUGCACGGAGCCAGUUGGUGGAAAAGUCCAUAGACUAUCAGAGUUGAAUGGUGCUGGUCAGGUGGGAGGAGCACCUCAUUCCUGCUUCCCCAUCAAGUUACUUGCCUUGGCCUGCUUCCUACUCUCUGGGUCACUGGUGCUCACACAGCCUUUCCCAACCCCCACCUCCAAAGGUCAUAUUUUACAGCUCCUUGUGAGGAAUUCACAUCAUGCCAUGACCUUCACUAUGAGAAAGCACAGGCUGUAAAAGGCCAGCCUGGCUCCCUGCUCCGUGGUUAAAUAUUGAUGAUAUUGGGCAAUAGAGACCUGGAGUGGGCACACUACAUAUCCCCCUGCAGUGAUGGAACCCACAGACCGCAGGUCCUCUGCAGUCCAUUCUCCUGCCUGUCCAGAGGAUCCGGAUGUUUUCUCUUUACUUGAGGCCAACACAUAACAAUGAAAGCACUGGGCUACUGGUGCUUUCGGAUUGUGAAAGUCAGGUGGAGCCUGUUUGCACUCUGAGUGCACUCAUUCAAGAGGUCAGUCACCCUGGAGUGAUACAGAAGGCUCCAGG
This 5798-nucleotide long non-coding RNA is filed under the name Homo sapiens (human). Its description in RNAcentral is "HSALNT0381795". Lineage: Eukaryota; Metazoa; Chordata; Mammalia; Primates; Hominidae. The record is from RNAcentral.